AAAGUCGUAACAAGGUUUCCGUAGGUGAACCUGCGGAAGGAUCAUUACAAAUCCAUCACGUCUCUCUUACCCGAGACACCGUCUAAAUGUUCCGGGAUCGAGCCGCCUUAUGGGUGGGUGGGGGAGCGGGUAUCUUCGAGGACGGGCCACUUUCUCUCCCCCUACCCGGGAGAGAGAGAGGGGCCAAUUGUCGUUGCAUGCCUGCCUGCCUGCCUGCCUGCCUGCCUGGCUCGACCACCCACAACCCCUUUUAAAACCUAGUGUGACUGUUGCUUCAUAUGUAUUGUUUCUUUGUUGAACACAACACGAAAACAACUUAUAACAAUGGAUCUCUAGGCUCUU
Molecule: unclassified non-coding RNA, 342 nt
Filed under: Ascomycota sp.
Lineage: Eukaryota; Fungi; Ascomycota
Description: partial contains small subunit ribosomal RNA, internal transcribed spacer 1, and 5.8S ribosomal RNA
Rfam family: Eukaryotic small subunit ribosomal RNA (bases 1-47)
Source: RNAcentral